This 265-nucleotide long non-coding RNA is filed under the name Carica papaya (papaya). Its description in RNAcentral is "long non-coding RNA (CPAP_LNC011115)". Lineage: Eukaryota; Viridiplantae; Streptophyta; Magnoliopsida; Brassicales; Caricaceae. The record is from RNAcentral.
AUUAAUAAGAGGAAAUAUGGUAGGUGAAAUCGUGAAGAGCUCGAGCUAGAGGGAUUAGCGAAAAUGAGACCGAACAAGUGUAUACAUAUAUGUCAGUGUAUAUAUAUAUAUGCACCAUAAUAUCACUAGAGAGAGAAGCAAAUUCGAAAAUGUAGGGAUUAGGCAAAAAAAAUGUGUGAAUACACGUAGAAGAGUGUUUGAUAGUCACCAAAUAGAGAGGAAACUAGAGAUGUUGAAGUUAGGGUGGGAAUGAAGUAUGGAAUCG